UUCCAGGUAAACGGGGUUUGACUGCGGCAAAUUGUUUGCAGCGCCGCGUCAUUGUUGUUGCUCUUUGUGUGAUUGGGAAAAAAUUUCCAUAGAUAAAAUUAUUGUAUCUAAAAUUUACAGUGCUAAAUCAUAAAUAGAGCUUAAAAUUUAAACCUGAGUGUAUUUGAAAUAUCUCCUAAACCCGCCUGCAUUUUGUGUCGGCGGUUGUGUUGUACCCCACCAAAAAACCAGGAGUAAGAAGUACAUACAUACAUACAUAUAUGAGUACACUUUUUUUUAAAUUGUGUUCAAGACCUGCAAAACUCUUUCGUUUAAGACUAAUAAAGUACUUUUCCAUAGAGCGCUGAGUUAGAAAAUAACGAAAGCAACCAAACAAAAUUUCGGAUCUAAAAUUCAUUUUUGUGGAUUUACUGCUUGGGGUUGAGAACUAAUCGCAAAACUGGCGGAGGAAGCAGCAGAAAGCGCCAACAAGAUGAGUUGGGGAACGCAACUUUGGGUGAAUAUGAAAAGAU
Rhagoletis zephyria (snowberry fruit fly) is the source of this 512-nucleotide long non-coding RNA. RefSeq lists it as uncharacterized. Lineage: Eukaryota; Metazoa; Arthropoda; Insecta; Diptera; Tephritidae. The record is from RefSeq and is a predicted model, not a curated record.